RNAcentral lists this ribosomal RNA (225 nucleotides) under uncultured bacterium. Its description in RNAcentral is "partial 16S ribosomal RNA". It matches the Rfam family "Bacterial small subunit ribosomal RNA", at positions 943 to 1167 of the family's 1533-position model. The record is from RNAcentral.
GGUUUAAUUCGAUGAUACGCGAGGAACCUUACCCGGGCUUGAAUUGCAGAGGAAGGAUUUGGAGACAAUGACGCCCUUCGGGGUCGUCUGUGAAGGUGCUGCAUGGUUGUCGUCAGCUCGUGCCGUGAGGUGUCGGCUUAAGUGCCAUAACGAGCGCAACCCCUCUCCUUAGUUGCCAUCAGGUAAAGCUGGGCACUCUGGGGACACUGCCACCGUAAGGUGUGA